UACGUAGGCAGCAAGCGUUGUUCGGAAUUACUGGGCGUAAAGAGUGUGUAGGCGGUGUUCUAAGUCUGUUGUGAAAACCCACGGCUCAACUGUGGGCUUGCAUUCGAUACGGGCAGGCUAGAGUUCGGUAGGGGAGACUGGAAUUCCUGGUGUAGCGGUGAAAUGCGCAGAUAUCAGGAGGAACACCGGUGGCGAAGGCGGGUCUCUGGGCCGAUACUGACGCUGAGAAGCGAAAGCGUGGGGAGCGAACAGG
Molecule: ribosomal RNA, 253 nt
Filed under: uncultured bacterium
Lineage: Bacteria
Description: partial 16S ribosomal RNA
Rfam family: Bacterial small subunit ribosomal RNA
Source: RNAcentral